AUUGAACGCUGGCGGCAGGCCUAACACAUGCAAGUCGAGCGGAUGACGGGAGCUUGCUCCUUGAUUCAGCGGCGGACGGGUGAGUAAUGCCUAGGAAUCUGCCUGGUAGUGGGGGACAACGUUUCGAAAGGAACGCUAAUACCGCAUACGUCCUACGGGAGAAAGCAGGGGACCUUCGGGCCUUGCGCUAUCAGAUGAGCCUAGGUCGGAUUAGCUAGUUGGUGGGGUAAUGGCUCACCAAGGCGACGAUCCGUAACUGGUCUGAGAGGAUGAUCAGUCACACUGGAACUGAGACACGGUCCAGACUCCUACGGGAGGCAGCAGUGGGGAAUAUUGGACAAUGGGCGAAAGCCUGAUCCAGCCAUGCCGCGUGUGUGAAGAAGGUCUUCGGAUUGUAAAGCACUUUAAGUUGGGAGGAAGGGCAGUAAGCUAAUACCUUGCUGUUUUGACGUUACUCGCAGAAUAAGCACCGGCUAACUCUGUGCCAGCAGCCGCUGUAA
RNAcentral lists this ribosomal RNA (500 nucleotides) under uncultured bacterium. Its description in RNAcentral is "partial 16S ribosomal RNA". It matches the Rfam family "Bacterial small subunit ribosomal RNA", at positions 30 to 523 of the family's 1533-position model. The record is from RNAcentral.